UACGUAGGGUGCAAGCGUUAAUCGGAAUUACUGGGCGUAAAGCGCACGCAGGCGGUUUCGUAAGUUUGGAGUGACAGUGCUCGGCUCAACCGAGCAAGGCCUCUGAAAACUGCGGAACUUGAGGACCAGAGAGGGACAUAGAAUUCCGGGUGGAGUGGUGAAAUGCGUAGAUAUCCGGAGGAAUACCAAAGGCGAAGGCAGUGUCCUGGCUGGUAACUGACGCUCAGGCGCGAAAGCUAGGGGAGCGAACAGG
Molecule: ribosomal RNA, 253 nt
Filed under: uncultured bacterium
Lineage: Bacteria
Description: partial 16S ribosomal RNA
Rfam family: Bacterial small subunit ribosomal RNA
Source: RNAcentral